UCUGGAUCGUCUGCAACCAGUUCAGCACUGCUUGGUGUCUCAUGGUCCUCCUUAGUCACAAAUAUAAUUUUGUCUUUUCCUUCUUGCCUGCAGUAGGACAUGGCGGAGCCGCGCGGAGCCGCCCGCUGCCUUCCCGCUCAAUACGCCCGCAGACCGGCUCCGCCACCGUCCCGCGUCCUUCCCGCCCGCCUCGUUCCUGCUCCCGUU
This 207-nucleotide long non-coding RNA is filed under the name Gallus gallus (chicken). The record is from RNAcentral. Lineage: Eukaryota; Metazoa; Chordata; Aves; Galliformes; Phasianidae.